This 1762-nucleotide long non-coding RNA is filed under the name Salmo salar (Atlantic salmon). RNAcentral describes it as "lncRNA (ENSSSAG00000083171.1)". Lineage: Eukaryota; Metazoa; Chordata; Actinopteri; Salmoniformes; Salmonidae. The record is from RNAcentral.
CGAUAGCCGAGAUGUCAGAAGCUCGAGAGGUCAGAGGCACCUGCCAAUAACCUUUUAGCAAAUCUUACUUACUAACAUAAGCAGCAGAGCCAAUUCUGUCAAUGCAGUCAUCUAAGCGAGGUAGAGGAAAAGAGUCAUACUUUAACUGCAUUUACGCGAUGAUAGUCCGUACAUAAGUGGGAAGUACCGUCAGCCUUAGGAACAGAGAAUACACAGGGAACUCCAGGAGCUGUUAAAUUAAAUCAAAGUUUGUCACGUGCGCCGAAUACUUACAGUGAAAUGCUUACUUACAGGCUCUAACCAAUAGUGCAAAAAAAGUAUUAGGUGAACAAUAGGAUAGUCAGACAGGAAAUGUCCAGAAGAAGGCUGAUGGGCUUUACCUCAGUGUGAAACAGAGGGAAUACUACCUCUACCGUUUGACAGACGGCAACAAGAGGAAGACAAGGCAGCCUUGACAACUGCCAUUGUUCAACUUGACGAGCAGCAGGCAGAGUUUUGGCUCCCCACAGAGGAUAAGCUGCUCAAUACUGACAACUUUGUGUGGCCAUGGGAGAGACUAGGCACCAGCAACAGCCAUCUUGCAAUCAAAAAGGCAAUCUUGGACAGACGGACGUUGCUGAACAGACUGCAGGAGGAAGAGAAGAUCCUGGUGCAGGAGAUGAAGAGGGACUGGGAGAGCCUACAAAGAGCAGUGGGAACUGGAAGCGCUGGGGGAGCCUACAAAGAGCAGUGGGAACUCUGGAGGCUUUGUCCCUGCAUCUGCAAGAUCAGAGCAAUGCAGUGGAGUUAUCAGAGAGAGGGAGGAAUGGCCUUUUCUGCCUCCUGAAGAGAAGAUUGAGUGAACCGACACAAGACCAAGACAACAGCAGGAAUACCUACCACAAGCUGAUUCUGGGAGAAGGGGCUAUUUUUGAUGACUCUGAUGAAGAUGAGAACUCAGAUGAAGAUGUAUGUCCUAUUGCUGAGAGCUCAGAUGAAGAUAGAAGUCCUAUUGCUGAGAGCUCAGAUGAAGAUAUAAGUCCUAUUGCUGAGAGCUUAGAUGACGACUGCUGUGUUUUCUGAAAUCAUACACCACCCCUGCCUCUCUCGCUCGCUCUCUCUCGCUCUCUCGCUCUCUCUCUCUCUCUCUCUCUCUCUCUUGCAGGAGAGAGAGAAGGCUGCCACCACCUCCCUCGGGAGCAGCCUAGUCUCCCGAUGUUGACCCCUGACCCCUCACCUUCUGAACCCUUCCAGGGAAAUGUAAUUUGACUGAUACGCUAGUGGAGAAGGAAUGUCUAAUUUCAGCGCAUUUGUUGCCAUGUUUCCUCUCCUCCGUUUCUUCUGGUCCUAUGGCGACUAUGGCGACAUCAGCAGCAACUCAGAAUGUUGGCUUAGGACUUCUUUACUGAGGAAUGUGGUUGUUGUUAAUGUUAUUUUGUUAUUAUAUAUAUUUUUUGUAUUUUCUAUGCUGCUCGGAUUGUGAUUUUGGUGUAAUUUUGAGUUGCAAAAUAGUCCUUGGUCUCAAUUGGACUGCUUAAAUAAAUAAAGUAAAAGUCUUAAUAAAUAAAUCAAUAACAGGUCUGUACAUAGUAUGAAUAAAUUAUUUUGAUGUAAUAAAAAGUGUAAUACAUUGCUGCCCCUUUCAGCAUUGUAAGUACAUCACCUAUCUGAAAUGUGACUUGCCAAAUCUAACAGUAGCCUAUCAAUCGUUUUUAUGUUUGACUUUAAAUCAGUUAACGGUGUAUCAAUGAAAAUCUGAUAUUGAGUGGAAUGUACUGCUGCC